Molecule: long non-coding RNA, 2554 nt
Organism: Mustela lutreola (European mink)
Lineage: Eukaryota; Metazoa; Chordata; Mammalia; Carnivora; Mustelidae
Exons: 3
Source: RefSeq, a predicted model, not a curated record
CUCCGGCCGGAGGAUUCUGAGUGUGCAGCACGUGCAGAUGAGCUCCGCGGGGCAGGAGGGGACCAUCAGAGUGCUGAGUGUUAAUGCACGGAGACCUCAUGGAGAUACAUAGCGCUGCCGGCUCCUAAGAGGCUGGACACGAAGUUCUCCACCCCACUCCCAGCCAGUUUCAUAAGCUAGUUCGACAGAAAGUGAGAUCUCUACCUCCUCCUGAGAAACGGAGCCCGGAAAGGACACCCCACAGCAGGCUGGGCCAAACCAGAACUUGGCCCAUGAUAGCACGAUGGCAAGACUCCAGGGAGGCGUGCAGCCUGGGGCUCAGUCCCCACCAAGCUGCUGUUGAAAAUCCACUGUCUCAACCUGGCUUUUCUGCCAGAGGCUCUACCCCAGGGGAAAAUCAGGUCUGCCCGUGAGGGAGAACACACAGGCCUUUCCAGCCUGCAGAAGCUGUAGACCCUCUCCGGAGAGCAGGACUGGUAAGGAAUGGGGCUGGGGGGCACACAAACCCCAAGAAAGAGUACGCACUUCAAGACUGAAAACUCAGCCUUGGGUUCAGCUCAUCUGGGUUCAAAUUUCCACCUUACCACUUACCAGCUGUAUGACUUCAAACAAAUGAAUCACUGCUCAAAACUUCAGUUUCUUCACCUGUAAAAUGGGGAUCAUAAGACCGACUCCACGGGGUUGUGGUGAGGAUGACGUUAACAAUGUCUAUAAAGUACUUCAUGGGGCCUGGCCUAUGGGCAGUGCCCAAUCAAUGUAGCUACGUCCCCUUGUGAUUUUUUGUAAUCGGGCCACAUGGUGAGUGACCCACUCCCCCAGCUCAGGGUGGCUUCACAUGGGGCAUUUUCUCGUGGGCUCAAAUUAUCCUGAUUUUCUCAGGAUUGCUCGAGGCCAGGCCAGAGGGGCUAGACUACCUGGGGGAGGUGGAAGGACGGCAGGGCCUUCUGGAAACAGGGUUCAAAGACAAAUGGAGCCUUCUCUCUGAGGUUGCAGGGGGAAGUUGUUUGGGAGUGCGGUGGCAUUCCCUGAAGAUCUCCUUCCCCACACUUCAGCAGAGGCAGUGAGGUGCUCGGUGCUUGGUGCUUGGUGAUAAGUACUUGGUGCUCGGUACUUGGUGGUCAGUACUUGGUGCUCAGUGCUCGGUACUCGGUGCUCGCUCAAUUGUCUUUCUGCCCCUGUGGCCGCUCUCCCAUAAGGAAAUGGCCUCUUGCUUGUGCUUACAGCGUGCUGACAUGUCCUUUGUGUCAUUCACCUCCCAGAUGACCCUAGGAUGAGAUAACCAAGGUCCAGAGAGAAGGGACCCAGCUAGGGGCCUCCCACUGAAGCCGGGACACCGACACCGCUGGAACUCAAACCCAGUGUUCCCGUCCUCCUCACAAGAAAGGAGCUUCCCACACUAGUGUGGAUUCUCGGAGAUGAGAUGGAGGGGGCGCAAGGAAGGUGGCCCCAAUGGGGUCCUUAAGGGGUCAGGACCUGUUGACACCCUGUUGUCCCGAAACCUCUUCUGAACAUUUCUGAGAAACAAGAUCAACGUCUGUUGCCUCAGCAUGACCUUCCCGAGUAUACAAUGUCCUCCGUUCUCUGCACCCAGAUGUGUCUCCCUCCUCUUCCUCACCCCCCACCCCACACACAACACAGCACCAGCUGGUGGUGCUCUUAUCUGCUUGUUAUUAAUUUUUAACAUCUCUUCAGGGUCACGGGUCUAGAUCCAAUAUCUCCAUAACAGAGGGGUGGGCCACCCUCCUGACCACCUCGACUGCUCUCUCAGCAGCCGCUAAGGUGGCCCCAUGAUUAUUCCCCUCCCCCACACUGCAAACAAGUCUACUUGGCCAAAGGUUGACUGUCUUCAGUAAUGAAAAACAACUUAACAGCUGGACUGUUCUCACCAGGGAAGGCAAUAAAAGGGAGAAGAAGAGAAGGAAAGGGGAGAAAGAAGGAGAUAUUGAGGGGUUCUACCACGAGGAAACAGCUACUGUACCCGGCAAUUUAUACAUCUUAACCUCAGUUGAAUCUCACUACCCUUCUGCAAGACAGCCCCCGGUUCUGGAGAGCAGUCCCUGAGACGCUAGAAAGAGCGAUGGUGUUUCCGGCCCCAGGAGGAAGCCAGGGAGGCGAGUUGUGCUCUCUGGACCAGAGCUGACACCCCCUUCCUCAAACCUGGUCAAUCCCCAAGGCCUGGCUCAGGGGUACCUUCCUGAUCGCCCCCCCCCCCGCCUCCAUUCCUGCCUGUCUCCCCACCUAAAUGAAAGCUUCCUGCACACCAUGGAUGUUGCUCUCCUCUGCCUGCAAAGGGCAGGCGUGAACGAAGGUGGGAGAAAGAACUGAAGCUCCGGAGGGGCUGUGGCAAAGUCUGGGAAGACCAAGUGGCCGCUCGGGAACCCCGAGAAAUGCCGCCCGUGAAGGAAGAGGCCCCUGCCGGGGACACACCCCACGCGACACAGGGCCUGGCGAGAGAAGCAAGCUGCUUCCAUGUUGACCAGUGAUACGGUACCAGCACUGAGCACUGGUUUUAGGUCACAUUCUUUCCACUAUCUUGACGAAGAGUUCCACUGCU